Molecule: unclassified non-coding RNA, 336 nt
Filed under: soil metagenome
Description: partial contains 5.8S ribosomal RNA, internal transcribed spacer 2, and large subunit ribosomal RNA
Rfam family: 5.8S ribosomal RNA (bases 1-120)
Source: RNAcentral
GAUGAAGAACGCAGCGAAACGCGAUAAGUAAUGUGAAUUGCAGAAUUUAGUGAAUCAUCGAACUUUUGAACGCACAUUGCGCCCGCCAGUAUUCUGGCGGGCAUGCCUGUUCGAGCGUCAUUUCAACCAUCAAGCCCCCGGCUUGUGUUGGGGACCUGCGGCUGCCGCAGGCCCUGAAAAGCAGUGGCGGGCUCGCUGUCACACCGAGCGUAGUAGCAUACAUCUCGCUCUGGGCGUGCUGCGGGUUCCGGCCGUUAAACCACCUUCAUAACCCAAGGUUGACCUCGGAUCAGGUAGGAAGACCCGCUGAACUUAAGCAUAUCAAUAAGCGGAGGA